Molecule: ribosomal RNA, 253 nt
Filed under: uncultured bacterium
Lineage: Bacteria
Description: partial 16S ribosomal RNA
Rfam family: Bacterial small subunit ribosomal RNA
Source: RNAcentral
UACGGGGGGGGCAAGCGUUGUUCGGAAUUACUGGGCGUAAAGGGCUCGUAGGCGGCCAACUAAGUCAGACGUGAAAUCCCUCGGCUUAACCGGGGAACUGCGUCUGAUACUGGAUGGCUUGAGUUUGGGAGAGGGAUGCGGAAUUCCAGGUGUAGCGGUGAAAUGCGUAGAUAUCUGGAGGAACACCGGUGGCGAAGGCGGCAUCCUGGACCAACACUGACGCUGAGGAGCGAAAGCCAGGGGAGCGAACAGG